This 468-nucleotide ribosomal RNA is filed under the name uncultured bacterium. Its description in RNAcentral is "partial 16S ribosomal RNA". It matches the Rfam family "Bacterial small subunit ribosomal RNA", at positions 28 to 507 of the family's 1533-position model. The record is from RNAcentral.
GACGAACGCUGGCGGCGUGCUUAACACAUGCAAGUCGAACGGAAAGGCCCUGCUUUUGUGGGGUGCUCGAGUGGCGAACGUGUGAGUAACCCGUGAGUAACCUGCCCUUGACUUUGGGAUAACUUCAGGAAACUGGUGCUAAUACCGGAUAGGAGCUCCUGCUGCAUGGUGGGGGUUGGAAAGUUUCGGUGGUUGGGGGUGGACUCCCGGCUUAUCAGCUUGUUGGUGGGGUAGUGGCUUACCGAGGCUUUGACGGAUAGCCGGCCUGAGAGGGUGAACGGCCACAUUGGGACUGCGAUACGGCGCAGACUCGUACAGGAGGCAGCAGUGGAGAAUAUUGCACAAUGGGGGGAAGCCUGAUGCAGCAACGCCGCGUGCGGGAUGACGGCCUUCGGGUUGUAAACCGCUUUCGCCUGUGACGAAGCGUGAGUGACGGUAAUGGGUAAAGAAGCACCGGCUAACUACGUG